AUGUGGAGCAUGGAUCUUUGGUCUUCUUUGCAGAAAGAGUAUUUGUGGUUUCCUCUUCCCCGGGACUUCCGAAUGCUUGUGUGGAGGGAACAAAUAACUGUGAAGUUACCAGUACCACAGGUAGAACAAGCACACGUGAGUGAUCAGCUUGGAAAGUCCAGUCCUGCCCAACUGAAAGGUUAGAAACCAAGUCAUUCUCCAAAUGUAAACCCAUAUAUUUACACACCAU
This 229-nucleotide long non-coding RNA is filed under the name Anas platyrhynchos (mallard). RNAcentral describes it as "lncRNA (ENSAPLG00020009991.1)". The record is from RNAcentral. Lineage: Eukaryota; Metazoa; Chordata; Aves; Anseriformes; Anatidae.